ACUCCUACGGGAGGCAGCAGUGGGGAAUAUUGCGCAAUGGACGAAAGUCUGACGCAGCGACGCCGCGUGGAGGAUGAAGGUUUUCGGAUCGUAAACUCCUGUCAAGAGGGAAGAAACCUAUUAUGAAUAAUACUCAUAGUAAUUGACGGUACCUCUAGAGGAAGCACCGGCUAAUUCAGUGCCAGCAGCCGCGGUAAUACUGAAGGUGCAAGCGUUAAUCGGAAUCACUGGGCGUAAAGCGCUCGUAGGUGGCUUUGUAAGUCAGGUGUGAAAGCCCACGGCUCAACCGUGGAAUUGCACUUGAUACUGCAUCGCUAGAGUAUAGGAGAGGGAAGUGGAAUUUCUGGUGUAGGAGUGAAAUCCGUAGAGAUCAGAAGGAACACCCGUGGCGAAGGCGACUUCCUGGACUAUUACUGACACUGAGGAGCGAAAGCGUGGGGAGCAAACAGGAUUAGAUACCCCUGGUAGACUGUCA
This 475-nucleotide ribosomal RNA is filed under the name uncultured bacterium. RNAcentral describes it as "bacterial SSU rRNA". It matches the Rfam family "Bacterial small subunit ribosomal RNA", at positions 335 to 802 of the family's 1533-position model. The record is from RNAcentral.